Molecule: long non-coding RNA, 1029 nt
Filed under: Homo sapiens (human)
Lineage: Eukaryota; Metazoa; Chordata; Mammalia; Primates; Hominidae
Description: HSALNT0305586
Source: RNAcentral
CUUUCUUCUGAUGAGUGAACAGCCUCACCGGAACUUCCCCAUCCUCCUGGCUUGGUUCCUGAAGUGGCCCAAGGCUGCCUUCUCCCUCCCGUGGGUGAACAGGGUCACUGCUUCCUCUCUUGUCCAGGCCCCCUGGCCUGACCCUGAGUCCCGGGCGUAACGGCGUUGUUGAACCACCACAACCCCAGGCGGCGCCUUCCUCUUGGCCCAGGGGCUCUCUUGGGGACAGUGUGCAGUACUCCCCAAGGGGGCUUUGCUGUGCAAAAGCAGCCCCUGCCGAUGCUGCGGCUCCCGUGGAUGGAGCACUGCCGUGGGAACAGAGUUGGAACUCAUCCAAAAGAAUAAAAGACAACUGUGUUGGAAGAUUGCCAAGGUUUGUAGCUGUGCCACCGCAGACUUCAGAGAUGAACACUGCCUUGGAGACGAGGAGGAUUCAAGUUGCAGAAGCAUUUAGAAACCUCAAACUUGAGACACGGUGGGAAAUCAGGAAGACAUGAGGCUUUGCUCAACACUGGAGAACACCAGUUCUUUUCAGUUUGUAUGCAUCUUUAUCAGGGUCUAUGCGAUUCUGAGGCAAGAGGCAUGAAACAACUCUGAGGAAGCAGGUCGGAGAGCAGCUGACCUGGUGAUCAAGGUAUUGAACUUUGUUCUCUGAGUUUCUUUCUCCACAGGAGGGGCAGCCUGCUAAAAGCAGGGGCAGCAAGACGACAUCUCCAGCUGAGAGACACAUGUACCACUUAGAGAUGAGAAAGAUGCACCAGGGUUCCUGGUGUGUGGAAGGUGACUGAGACCCUCCAUGAAUGAGGGCACUUACUGAAUUUUGUGGACAGAACUUUUUCUUCUGUGUUUGCAGGUAGAUGUUUUUAAUGGGUUUCCUGCUUUAGGACUUUUUGAACAGCCAUGGAAGGGGCCAGGGAGAGGGAAGGAAUCUCUAGUCCUGAGCAUUGCCGAGUCCUUCAUCCAUCCUCAGUCCCACCUUUGGAUUCCUUGUGGUACAAUGAUUUCUCCAGAGACAGGCACUUUCCUUGA